RNAcentral lists this ribosomal RNA (253 nucleotides) under uncultured bacterium. Its description in RNAcentral is "partial 16S ribosomal RNA". It matches the Rfam family "Bacterial small subunit ribosomal RNA", at positions 524 to 776 of the family's 1533-position model. The record is from RNAcentral.
UACAGAGGGUGCGAGCGUUAAUCGGAAUUACUGGGCGUAAAGCGCGCGUAGGCGGCAUGGUAUGUCGGGUGUGAAAUCCCCGGGCUAAACCUGGGAACUGCAUCCGAAGCUGCCUUGCUAGAGUAUGGGAGAGGGAAGUGGAAGUUCCUGUGUAGCAGUGAAAUGCGUAGAUAUCGGAAGGAACCUCAGUGGCGAAGGCGACUUCCUGGGCCAAUACUGACGCUCAUGUGUGCAAUCGUGGGGAGCAAACAGU